This is a long non-coding RNA of Dermacentor albipictus, 931 nucleotides long. RefSeq lists it as uncharacterized. The record is from RefSeq and is a predicted model, not a curated record. NCBI's taxonomy places the organism in Eukaryota, Metazoa, Arthropoda, Arachnida, Ixodida, Ixodidae.
CACCUAAGUGUACUCUACUACGUGAACUGUCGGUCGUAGAAGUUGCUACGAUGUGCUUGAUUGUUCCGUGUUUUUGCGUUUGCUGUAAUGAACUGUGACUUAGUUCGCGUGCACAAAACUGCCAGUAGAUAGCCUGUAUCUCGCUGCAAACUCGUGGUAUGCGUGGCGCGCCAGGCAAAUGUGGACCAACGAUUUUCGUGCCAUGAAGUGCGCUCCCUUUGUCCCUGGCUGUUGUGGAAAGUUUAGUGGACGUCGCAAAAAAAUAAUGCGUAUUAUUAGCGUUCCGUAGGUCGUCCACUACGCAACGGCAUGUAUGCGGGAAUAACUUUGCAGCUCCGGCAACUUGGAGGGCGCUUUUCGACCGCAUCGUACCAUUUAAAAGUGGCGAGGCCGUGACCUAAAACAGUGUCCACGUCAGGGAGGAGCUAUGGCUGUAGCAGCACGGUGUGUAAUCGGAUGGUCUGGUCAGAACAAUGGCCACGAGCUUGAAUUCCUUUAAAUGGUACAUGAAGGCCAGUAUCCACUGUGCUGUAGGUACUACAGCAGUGAGGAGUUUUCUAGUACAGAUUGGUGUGGGUUUUGUGAUGCCACUCAACAAGUGGCAUUAGAUGUGGCAUGGCAUCUGUGGACACCAGUGCAAGCAGGUGAAAGUAGCCUGACUGGGCAGGCCUGCCGGACAAUGUGCCAUGCAUCCGGGAAGCUUCCGGCAACACCGGAGAAAGUGGCUGCUUUGAAGAACUGCCUGGAUAAAUACAUAAGUGACCAUCCAAUGGGGCCACGAGCACCACAUCCGGAGAACCACCUUGCUUCUCUGCGGAAGCGCCUUCGGAGCUUUCUUUUACAGAAGCAGGUCGCCGGCACAAGCGAGUGGAAAAGUAAAUACAGUAUAAGUCCGGUGAUGUUUUUUUUUUAAUAAAGUGUGAUGACAUGC